Molecule: long non-coding RNA, 933 nt
Filed under: Homo sapiens (human)
Lineage: Eukaryota; Metazoa; Chordata; Mammalia; Primates; Hominidae
Description: HSALNT0271482
Source: RNAcentral
GUGCCACCUCCAAAGAGCCGUACGUCCACUGCCAGAAGCUACAUCGGCAGUAAUCAUUCAUCCCUGGGGUCCAUGUCUCCUUCCAACAUGGAAGGAUAUUCCAAGACUCAGUAUAACCAAGUACCAAGUGAAGACUUUGAACGCACUCCUCAGAGUCCGACUCUCCCACCUGCUAAGUUCAAGUACCCUUACAAGACUGAUGGAAUUACAGUUGUAUAAAUAUGGACUACUGAAGAAUCUGAAGUAUUGUAUUAUUUGACUUUAUUUUAGGCCUCUAGUAAAGACUUAAAUGUUUUUUAAAAAAAGCACAAGGCACAGAGAUUAGAGCAGCUGUAAGAACACAUCUACUUUAUGCAAUGGCAUUAGACAUGUAAGUCAGAUGUCAUGUCAAAAUUAGUACGAGCCAAAUUCUUUGUUAAAAAACCCUAUGUAUAGUGACACUGAUAGUUAAAAGAUGUUUUAUUAUAUUUUCAAUAACUACCACUAACAAAUUUUUAACUUUUCAUAUGCAUAUUCUGAUAUGUGGUCUUUUAGGAAAAGUAUGGUUAAUAGUUGAUUUUUCAAAGGAAAUUUUAAAAUUCUUACGUUCUGUUUAAUGUUUUUGCUAUUUAGUUAAAUACAUUGAAGGGAAAUACCCGUUCUUUUCCCCUUUUAUGCACACAACAGAAACACGCGUUGUCAUGCCUCAAACUAUUUUUUAUUUGCAACUACAUGAUUUCACACAAUUCUCUUAAACAACGACAUAAAAUAGAUUUCCUUGUAUAUAAAUAACUUACAUACGCUCCAUAAAGUAAAUUCUCAAAGGUGCUAGAACAAAUCGUCCACUUCUACAGUGUUCUCGUAUCCAACAGAGUUGAUGCACAAUAUAUAAAUACUCAAGUCCAAUAUUAAAAACUUAGGCACUUGACUAACUUUAAUAAAAUUUCUCAAACU